RNAcentral lists this long non-coding RNA (420 nucleotides) under Oreochromis niloticus (Nile tilapia). Its description in RNAcentral is "lncRNA (ENSONIG00000035371.1)". The record is from RNAcentral. Lineage: Eukaryota; Metazoa; Chordata; Actinopteri; Cichliformes; Cichlidae.
AUGCAUUUGAUACAAAGCAGAAAACAUGAGAGGAAGAUGGCACGCAGCAAAGGUUGUGAGCGGAAUAAAAAAAAUCCCCGACAUCAGCUGCAAAUGGUACAUGUGUCUGCUGAAUCCACCACUUCACCUUUGGGAGUGAAAGAAUUGCAGGAUGUGCGCUGGCAGAACCCCCCGUCUGACACCACUACAGUUGGUCCCCUCUGGAUAUCCUCUGCACCCCCCCUGCUCUCCUGUUCCACAACCUGCCUUCCCUCCUCCCUCCUUUCUUCCACAAGGAUGGUUUGUGUGCCUUAUCCAACUUUUUUUUCCCUUCUUCUCCCUCUCAUUUUUUAUUGCGAGCCCCUGAUCUAUUUUCCUUCAUCUCUAAACCUGAUUCUGCAUGAAUUUCAAAAGCUGGAACUUUGAGACCAAAGAUGUUCC